This 301-nucleotide ribosomal RNA is filed under the name uncultured bacterium. RNAcentral describes it as "partial 16S ribosomal RNA". It matches the Rfam family "Bacterial small subunit ribosomal RNA", at positions 509 to 807 of the family's 1533-position model. The record is from RNAcentral.
CAGUAGCCACGGGAAUACGGAGGGUGCAAGCGUUAUCCGGAUUUAUUGGGUUUAAAGGGUCCGUAGGCGGACUUAUAAGUCAGUGGUGAAAGCCUGUCGCUUAACGAUAGAACUGCCAUUGAUACUGUAAGUCUUGAGUAUAUUUGAGGUAGCUGGAAUAAGUAGUGUAGCGGUGAAAUGCAUAGAUAUUACUUAGAACACCAAUUGCGAAGGCAGGUUACCAAGAUAUAACUGACGCUGAGGGACGAAAGCGUGGGUAGCGAACAGGAUUAGAUACCCCCGUAGUCCAUGUCUCUUAUAC